RNAcentral lists this transfer RNA (56 nucleotides) under Ornithodoros zumpti. RNAcentral describes it as "tRNA-Asn". Lineage: Eukaryota; Metazoa; Arthropoda; Arachnida; Ixodida; Argasidae. The record is from RNAcentral.
UAAUAGAAGCCAAAAAGAGGCUAUUCACUGUUAAUGAAUUUAUUGUCAUUCCUAUU